CCUACGGGUGGCUGCAGUGGGGAAUAUUGCACAAUGGGCGCAAGCCUGAUGCAGCCAUGCCGUGUGUGUGAAGAAGGCCUUCGGGUUGUAAAGCACUUUCAGCGGGGAGGAAGGCGGUGAGGUUAAUAACCUCAUCGAUUGACGUUACCCGCAGAAGAAGCACCGGCUAACUCCGUGCCAGCAGCCGCGGUAAUACGGAGGGUGCAAGCGUUAAUCGGAAUUACUGGGCGUAAAGCGCACGCAGGCGGUCUGUCAAGUCGGAUGUGAAAUCCCCGGGCUCAACCUGGGAACUGCAUUCGAAACUGGCAGGCUAGAGUCUUGUAGAGGGGGGUAGAAUUCCAGGUGUAGCGGUGAAAUGCGUAGAGAUCUGGAGGAAUACCGGUGGCGAAGGCGGCCCCCUGGACAAAGACUGACGCUCAGGUGCGAAAGCGUGGGGAGCAAACAGGAUUAGAUACCCCUGUAGUC
Molecule: ribosomal RNA, 465 nt
Filed under: uncultured Klebsiella sp.
Lineage: Bacteria; Pseudomonadati; Pseudomonadota; Gammaproteobacteria; Enterobacterales; Enterobacteriaceae
Description: bacterial SSU rRNA
Rfam family: Bacterial small subunit ribosomal RNA
Source: RNAcentral